Molecule: ribosomal RNA, 403 nt
Filed under: Fusobacteriota bacterium
Lineage: Bacteria; Fusobacteriati; Fusobacteriota
Description: Fusobacteria bacterium partial 16S ribosomal RNA
Rfam family: Bacterial small subunit ribosomal RNA
Source: RNAcentral
UGGGGAAUUUUGCACAAUGGGGGAAACCCUGAUGCAGCGACGCCGCGUGUACGAUGAAGAUCUUCGGAUUGUAAAGUACUGUCCUUGGUGAAGAUAAUGACUGUAACCAAGAAGCAAGCCCUGGCUAAAUACGUGCCAGCAGCCGCGGUAAUACGUAUGGGGCAAGCGUUGUCCGGAAUUAUUGGGCGUAAAGGGUACGUAGGCGGUUAUUUAAGUCUAAAUUAAAAGGCAUUGGCUCAACCAAUGUAAGGUUUAGAUACUGGAUAACUUGAGUAGAUGAGGGGAAAGUGGAAUUCCAUGUGUAGCGGUCAAAUGCGUAGAUAUAUGGAGGAACACCAAUGGCGAAGGCAACUUUCUGGAAUCAAACUGACGCUGAGGUACGAAGGCGUGGGGAGCAAACAGG